AGAGUUUGAUCAUGGCUCAGGAUGAACGCUAGCUACAGGCUUAACACAUGCAAGUCGAGGGGAAACGACAUCGAAAGCUUGCUUUUGAUGGGCGUCGACCGGCGCACGGGUGAGUAACGCGUAUCCAACCUGCCCACCACUUGGGGAUAACCUUGCGAAAGUAAGACUAAUACCCAAUGAUAUCUCUAGAAGACAUCUGAAAGAGAUUAAAGAUUUAUCGGUGAUGGAUGGGGAUGCGUCUGAUUAGCUUGGUUGGCGGGGUAACGGCCCACCAAGGCGACGAUCGAGUAGGGGUUCUGAGAGGAAGGUCCCCCANAUUGGAACUGAGACACGGUCCAAACGUCCUACGGGAGCA
This 355-nucleotide ribosomal RNA is filed under the name uncultured bacterium. Its description in RNAcentral is "bacterial SSU rRNA". It matches the Rfam family "Bacterial small subunit ribosomal RNA", at positions 8 to 350 of the family's 1533-position model. The record is from RNAcentral.